RNAcentral lists this ribosomal RNA (497 nucleotides) under uncultured bacterium. Its description in RNAcentral is "partial 16S ribosomal RNA". It matches the Rfam family "Bacterial small subunit ribosomal RNA", at positions 28 to 507 of the family's 1533-position model. The record is from RNAcentral.
GACGAACGCUGGCGGCGUGCCUAAUACAUGCAAGUUGAGCGCUGAAGGUUGGUACUUGUACCAACUGGAUGAGCAGCGAACGGGUGAGUAACGCGUGGGGAAUCUGCCUUUGAGCGGGGGACAACAUUUGGAAACGAAUGCUAAUACCGCAUAAAAACUUUAAACACAAGUUUUAAGUUUGAAAGAUGCAAUUGCAUCACUCAAAGAUGAUCCCGCGUUGUAUUAGCUAGUUGGUGAGGUAAAGGCUCACCCAGGCGAUGAUACAUAGCCGACCUGAGGGGGUGAUCGGCCACAUUGGGACUGAGACACGGCCCAAACUCCUACGGGAGGCAGCAGUAGGGAAUCUUCGGCAAUGGACGAAAGUCUGACCGAGCAACGCCGCGUGAGUGAAGAAGGUUUUCGGAUCGUAAAACUCUGUUGGUAGAGAAGAACGUUGGUGAGAGUGGAAAGCUCAUCAAGUGACGGUAACUACCCAGAAAGGGACGGCUAACUACGUG